RNAcentral lists this small RNA (1128 nucleotides) under Pongo abelii (Sumatran orangutan). Its description in RNAcentral is "retained intron". The record is from RNAcentral. Lineage: Eukaryota; Metazoa; Chordata; Mammalia; Primates; Hominidae.
GGAAAGCAGAGAUUUUUAUUCGGUCUUUUCUUUUACUCUUUCCUUUUCCGUUUCUACUUUUUCUCGAUGUUAAUGGUUCCUUCCUCCCUCUCCUCCUCUGCGCUUUGGUACGAGCCAAGGGAGAGGGGCGGAGGGAGGAAAAGGGAAAGGAAGCGGAUAGGCCUUAAAGGGGCCGCAACCAUUUUUUUAAGCCACUUUUUCCUCUCUCCAAUUUUGCAACGACGGGCGCGGAGGAGGAGGUUCCCGGAAGCCACGCGCAGCUGGAGCAGCGGCGACCGCAGCUGGAGGCCCGGAGCGCCUGCGGGGCGGGCAGAGGCGAGGGAGGUUGCGGGUAGGAAGGGCGGGCUGCGCGCGCCCCCUGCGCCCCGCGCAUCUCGGGGCCGGCCCAUGCUCCCGACGGCUGCGGGCUUCAGCAUCUGGGGCCGGGUUGGGGCGGCGGGGUCCAGGGCGCAGGUGGUGCGGCCGAUGCGCCGGGCCGGAGGCUGAGGCCGCGCGGCGGGGCUGGGACAGCACUGGCAUCUCCAGAGCAGGCCCGGGCAGCAAGGGAGGCGCCGCGAUGCCAGACGAAAAUAUCUUUCUGUUCGUGCCCAACCUCAUCGGUGAGUGCUGCCCGCGGCCCCGGGCCGAACGAGAGGGCGAGGGGCCUUGGCGGGCUCCCUGAUCCUGCCCUGUCUCCCCGCGUCCCGUUCCAAGGUUAUGCCCGGAUUGUCUUCGCCAUCAUUUCUUUCUACUUCAUGCCCUGCUGCCCCCUCACGGCCUCCUCCUUCUACCUGCUCAGCGGCCUGCUGGACGCUUUCGAUGGACACGCUGCUCGCGCUCUUAAUCAAGGAACCCGGUUUGGGGCCAUGCUGGACAUGCUGACGGACCGCUGCUCCACCAUGUGCCUGUUGGUCAACCUGGCCCUGCUGUACCCUCGAGCCACACUGUUCUUCCAACUCAGCAUGAGUUUGGAUGUGGCCAGUCACUGGCUGCACCUCCACAGUUCUGUGGUCCGAGGCAGUGAGAGUCACAAGAUGAUCGACUUGUCCGGGAAUCCGGUGCUUCGGAUCUACUACACCUCGAGGCCUGCUCUGUUCACCUUGUGUGCUGGGAAUGAGCUCUUCUACUGCCUCCUCUACCUGUUCCAUU